This 245-nucleotide ribosomal RNA is filed under the name uncultured bacterium. Its description in RNAcentral is "partial 16S ribosomal RNA". It matches the Rfam family "Bacterial small subunit ribosomal RNA", at positions 334 to 596 of the family's 1533-position model. The record is from RNAcentral.
UAGACCUACGGGAGGCAGCAGUGGGGAAUAUUGCACAAUGGGGGAAACCCUGAUGCAGCGACGCCGCGUGAAGGAUGAAGUAUUUCGGUAUGUAAACUUCUAUCAGCAGGGAAGAAAAUGACGGUACCUGACUAAGAAGCCCCUGCUAACUACGUGCCAGCAGCCGCGGUAAUACGUAGGGGGCAAGCGUUAUCCGGAUUUACUGGGUGUAAAGGGAGCGUAGACGGCAGUGCAAGUCCGGAGUG